This 404-nucleotide ribosomal RNA is filed under the name Verrucomicrobiota bacterium. RNAcentral describes it as "Verrucomicrobia bacterium partial 16S ribosomal RNA". It matches the Rfam family "Bacterial small subunit ribosomal RNA", at positions 355 to 776 of the family's 1533-position model. Lineage: Bacteria; Pseudomonadati; Verrucomicrobiota. The record is from RNAcentral.
UGGGGAAUAUUGGACAAUGGGGGGAACCCUGAUCCAGCGACGCCGCGUGAGUGAAGAAGUAUUUCGGGAUGUAAAGCUCUAUCAGCAGGGAAGAAAAUGACGGUACCUGACUAAGAAGCCCCGGCUAACUACGUGCCAGCAGCCGCGGUAAUACGUAGGGGGCAAGCGUUAUCCGGAUUUACUGGGUGUAAAGGGAGCGCAGACGGUUUUGCAAGUCUGAAGUGAAAGCCCGAGGCUUAACCUCGGAGUUGCUUUGGAAACUGUAUAACUAGAGUAUCGGAGAGGUAAGUGGAAUUCCUAGUGUAGCGGUGAAAUGCGUAGAUAUUAGGAGGAACACCGGUGGCGAAGGCGGCUUACUGGACGAAAACUGACGUUGAGGCUCGAAGGCGUGGGGAGCAAACAGG